RNAcentral lists this ribosomal RNA (460 nucleotides) under uncultured bacterium. RNAcentral's name for it is "partial 16S ribosomal RNA". It matches the Rfam family "Bacterial small subunit ribosomal RNA", at positions 338 to 795 of the family's 1533-position model. The record is from RNAcentral.
CCUACGGGUGGCAGCAGUGAGGAAUAUUGGUCAAUGGGCUUACGCCUGAACCAGCCAAGUCGCGUGAGGGAAGACUGCCCUAUGGGUUGUAAACCUCUUUUGUCAGGGAGCACUUGGCGCUACGUGUAGCGUUAUCGAGAGUACCUGAAGAAACAGCAUCGACAAACUCCGUGCCAGCAGCCGCGGUAAUACGGAGGAUGCGAGCGUUAUCCGGAUUUAUUGGGUUUAAAGGGUGCGUAGGCGGAAUGCCAAGUCAGCGGUAAAAUCGCGGGGCCGAACCUCGCGCGGCCGUUGAAACUGGCGUUCUUGAGUGGGCGAGAAGUAUGCGGAAUGCGUGGUGUAGCGGUGAAAUGCUUAGAUAUCACGAAGAACUCCGAUUGCGAAGGCAGCUUACUAGACUGCCACUGACAUUGAUGCUCGAAAGUGUGGGUAUCAAACAGGAUUAGAUACCCGUGUAGUC